Molecule: transfer RNA, 76 nt
Filed under: Candidatus Roizmanbacteria bacterium RIFCSPLOWO2_01_FULL_41_22
Lineage: Bacteria; Candidatus Roizmaniibacteriota
Description: tRNA-Arg
Rfam family: tRNA
About the family: Transfer RNA (tRNA) molecules are approximately 80 nucleotides in length. Their secondary structure includes four short double-helical elements and three loops (D, anti-codon, and T loops). Further hydrogen bonds mediate the characteristic L-shaped molecular structure. tRNAs have two regions of fundamental functional importance: the anti-codon, which is responsible for specific mRNA codon recognition, and the 3' end, to which the tRNAs corresponding amino acid is attached (by aminoacyl-tRNA synthetases). tRNAs cope with the degeneracy of the genetic code in two manners: having more than one tRNA (with a specific anti-codon) for a particular amino acid; and 'wobble' base-pairing, i.e. permitting non-standard base-pairing at the 3rd anti-codon position.
Source: RNAcentral
GCUCUCGUAGCUCAAUGGAUAGAGCAGUCCCGUCCUAAGGGAAAGAUUGGAGGUUCGACUCCUCUCGAGAGCGCAA